This 1319-nucleotide long non-coding RNA is filed under the name Vigna radiata. RNAcentral describes it as "long non-coding RNA (VRAD_LNC001776)". The record is from RNAcentral. Lineage: Eukaryota; Viridiplantae; Streptophyta; Magnoliopsida; Fabales; Fabaceae.
ACACUCGAAUCUCAGUCUCCGUAGAGAACUCAACACACUAUCGUAUCGCAAUAUGAACACCACUGGUUCGACAAGAAUUCUAAGGAAAUGACAGAACACUUGUUCUCACAACUUCACCAUCACAGUCAUACACAUAUCACCUGCAUAUACAAAGUCAACCAAAUUCAUUGACCAACAAUUAAUUAAAAAUACUCAAAUAAUUAAAUCAAUCAAUUUUUCACAAUAAAAAUAAUUUAAUUAUUUUCCUACUUGCGCACCCCCGUGAAAUUAUUUUCACACUCCUAUCCACUAGAACCAAUAUUUCUAAUGCACCCCCACUAUUACUAAUUCACAACAUAAUAGAAAAAAAUAUAAUUCUUUAAAGUACCCCUUAAACUUCUAAAUACACUCCCUUUCGUAAACCUACCAACUCAAGUGGUCCCUACAACUAUUUUUAACUUUAGAAACACACUUUAAUUUUCUCUCACCAAGUGGACCCCACUUAAAAUAUUCAUUUUUCACUAAAAAUUAUCUUUCUCUCUCCUACUCUCCACAUUUACGUAACCAAACUUUCUCUCCCUUCUCUCUUUUGCUUUUAUUUCCCAUACACAAAAUUUCAUUCACUCAUCUUUUCUCACAUGGACCCCACCUCCCACUUUAUUUGACUUUUCAAACUAACCCAUUCCUUCCUCUCACCAAAGUCACGUAACCCCUCCCUAAACUCUCUUUUUUUUCUCUCUUUUUAUUUCUUCACUCUCCCAACCUUAUUUACGUACGCACAGACACACUUAUAUACUACAAUUCUUUUCACUCUUUUCUCUCCUCCAUUCACGGUCCCACACAAUAUCCCACACACUUUUAUUAUUUUUUUUUCUCUCACACUCUCUACCUUUGCGUAUCAACACUACAACACCCAUAUUUAUAAAUUUUGACUUUUCAACCCCAAAACUUCUCUCAUUCUCCUCUCCCAUUUCACGUCAAAAACAAACACCCAUCCUCCUUCCUCUUUUCACGUCAACCAUGCAACAUCUUCACUGACCAUCUCUUUCAUUCUCUUUUUUUUUUCUCUUCAACCCUUAUUUAACUUAUCCUUCUUUGCUUUCAAAGACCCUUCAAGCUUCUCUCUUCACGGUUGUUGCUCCUCUUGCAGCCCCUUUCUUUUUCUUUGCCAAUUUCAUGUUCUUCCUUUAUGAUCUUAUUAUUCCCAUGCAACCAAGCUUCUUCUUUCUUCACCAUUUCAUCAACCCCAUAUACCCCAUCUCACAAAAAACAUCACUUUCACUCCUCUUAUACUCAUAACUCACUCUUUUCUCUUCCAACAAUGGGAGAGAACUCUCAAU